RNAcentral lists this transfer RNA (71 nucleotides) under Micromonospora sagamiensis. RNAcentral describes it as "tRNA-Thr". The record is from RNAcentral. Lineage: Bacteria; Bacillati; Actinomycetota; Actinomycetes; Micromonosporales; Micromonosporaceae.
GCCCGGUGCGUAGGUUGCGGUUACUUCCACUGGUAAUGGAGAGGUCGCGGGUUCGAAUCCCGCCCCCGGCC